RNAcentral lists this ribosomal RNA (1443 nucleotides) under Escherichia coli. RNAcentral describes it as "partial 23S ribosomal RNA". It matches the Rfam family "Bacterial large subunit ribosomal RNA", at positions 1237 to 2664 of the family's 2925-position model. The record is from RNAcentral. Lineage: Bacteria; Pseudomonadati; Pseudomonadota; Gammaproteobacteria; Enterobacterales; Enterobacteriaceae.
CGUUCUGUAAGCCUGUGAAGGUGUGCUGUGAGGCAUGCUGGAGGUAUCAGAAGUGCGAAUGCUGACAUAAGUAACGAUAAAGCGGGUGAAAAGCCCGCUCGCCGGAAGACCAAGGGUUCCUGUCCAACGUUAAUCGGGGCAGGGUGAGUCGACCCCUAAGGCGAGGCCGAAAGGCGUAGUCGAUGGGAAACAGGUUAAUAUUCCUGUACUUGGUGUUACUGCGAAGGGGGGACGGAGAAGGCUAUGUUGGCCGGGCGACGGUUGUCCCGGUUUAAGCGUGUAGGCUGGUUUUCCAGGCAAAUCCGGAAAAUCAAGGCUGAGGCGUGAUGACGAGGCACUACGGUGCUGAAGCAACAAAUGCCCUGCUUCCAGGAAAAGCCUCUAAGCAUCAGGUAACAUCAAAUCGUACCCCAAACCGACACAGGUGGUCAGGUAGAGAAUACCAAGGCGCUUGAGAGAACUCGGGUGAAGGAACUAGGCAAAAUGGUGCCGUAACUUCGGGAGAAGGCACGCUGAUAUGUAGGUGAAGUCCCUCGCGGAUGGAGCUGAAAUCAGUCGAAGAUACCAGCUGGCUGCAACUGUUUAUUAAAAACACAGCACUGUGCAAACACGAAAGUGGACGUAUACGGUGUGACGCCUGCCCGGUGCCGGAAGGUUAAUUGAUGGGGUCAGCGCAAGCGAAGCUCUUGAUCGAAGCCCCGGUAAACGGCGGCCGUAACUAUAACGGUCCUAAGGUAGCGAAAUUCCUUGUCGGGUAAGUUCCGACCUGCACGAAUGGCGUAAUGAUGGCCAGGCUGUCUCCACCCGAGACUCAGUGAAAUUGAACUCGCUGUGAAGAUGCAGUGUACCCGCGGCAAGACGGAAAGACCCCGUGAACCUUUACUAUAGCUUGACACUGAACAUUGAGCCUUGAUGUGUAGGAUAGGUGGGAGGCUUAGAAGUGUGGACGCCAGUCUGCAUGGAGCCGACCUUGAAAUACCACCCUUUAAUGUUUGAUGUUCUAACGUUGACCCGUAAUCCGGGUUGCGGACAGUGUCUGGUGGGUAGUUUGACUGGGGCGGUCUCCUCCUAAAGAGUAACGGAGGAGCACGAAGGUUGGCUAAUCCUGGUCGGACAUCAGGAGGUUAGUGCAAUGGCAUAAGCCAGCUUGACUGCGAGCGUGACGGCGCGAGCAGGUGCGAAAGCAGGUCAUAGUGAUCCGGUGGUUCUGAAUGGAAGGGCCAUCGCUCAACGGAUAAAAGGUACUCCGGGGAUAACAGGCUGAUACCGCCCAAGAGUUCAUAUCGACGGCGGUGUUUGGCACCUCGAUGUCGGCUCAUCACAUCCUGGGGCUGAAGUAGGUCCCAAGGGUAUGGCUGUUCGCCAUUUAAAGUGGUACGCGAGCUGGGUUUAGAACGUCGUGAGACAGUUCGGUCCCUAUCUGCCGUGGGCGCUGGAGAACUG